Misgurnus anguillicaudatus (oriental weatherfish) is the source of this 551-nucleotide long non-coding RNA. RefSeq lists it as uncharacterized. The record is from RefSeq and is a predicted model, not a curated record. NCBI's taxonomy places the organism in Eukaryota, Metazoa, Chordata, Actinopteri, Cypriniformes, Cobitidae.
GUCCUCGAUUUUUAAGUUUCAAAUCAUCUAAUGUCAGAUCGUGAACAGUCAUUUGAGAGAUUUCUACAGACUUUGCUGUUAUAGUCGCAUCCCAUACUCAUCUCAUGUUUUAGUAUUUAUAUAUUAUUAUAUAGCAUAUUAUUUAAUUAUUUAUCCAUCUAUCAAUCACUGUAGUUUUUUACUAUUGGAUCAUUAUGAUAAAUAAUAUCCUAAAACGGACUACUUGUUUGAAUUCAGACAGAAACUGGAAUUUAUAUGCCAUUUCAAGGGCACAACCUGUUGCAAAUUUGAUGAAGAAUCACACCUUAGGGAGAAUUAUUCUCCAUUGAGAGACGACGUUGAGGUUAAAGACUCAGGAUCUGUUACUCAGAUUUCUGUCCAAUGUGAGAAAAACCCUGAGGGUAAAGAUGGAGUGGUGAUAUUCGACAAGGAGGCAUUUCCUGUUGCCAACUUUCUUUAUCAUUCCAGAGAAGAUCAUGCUAAAGAUGAAGAAUGAAUAUUUAUGAGAGAAUCUGGACAAAAAAUGUAUACUCUGUGGGAUCAAUUGGCAC